Molecule: long non-coding RNA, 373 nt
Organism: Prionailurus viverrinus (fishing cat)
Lineage: Eukaryota; Metazoa; Chordata; Mammalia; Carnivora; Felidae
Exons: 3
Source: RefSeq, a predicted model, not a curated record
UGUAGGAUGGUUUAGUGUCGUUCUGGCUGUAUUUCAUGGACAUGAGACACAAAAAGCUUCCGUGCUGUUUUGCCAUCUUGGCCUCCUUUUCCUAAUUCUUGUACCUCCAUCCUCACCAAAGGGACAACAGCCAAUCUGGGCUCAGAUGCCAUUCAGGCAUUUUUCACCUCGGAUUUCCCCCACUGCCAUUGUGCCUGGGACCUCAAUGCUCCUCUUCCACUGGGCAGGGCCAGUUCUCCAGGUCCUGGUCUCAACCUGCUCCAAACCUUGAGGGCAGUGUCAGAGAAUGGCCACAUUACGAGAACAGAGGCGAAUCUGGACCUGGAAAAGUCUUGUCCUUUGGCCCUGCACCAGUUGGACCCAAAAUCCGAGA